GACGAACGCUGGCGGCGUGCCUAACACAUGCAAGUCGAGCGAGGAAUGACUGGUAGCUUGCUACCGGUUAUUUCUAGCGGCGGACGGGUGAGUAACGCGUGAGCAACCUGCCUUUAUCAGGGGGAUAACGCAUCGAAAGAUGUGCUAAUACCGCGUAAGACCACAGUCUCACAUGGGGCAGGGGUCAAAGGAGCAAUCCGGAUAAAGAUGGGCUCGCGUCCGAUUAGCUAGUUGGUGAGAUAACAGCCCACCAAGGCGACGAUCGGUAGCCGACCUGAGAGGGUGAUCGGCCACAUUGGAACUGAGAGACGGUCCAGACUCCUACGGGAGGCAGCAGUGGGGAAUAUUGGGCAAUGGGCGAAAGCCUGACCCAGCAACGCCGCGUGAGGGAAGAAGGGUUUCGGCUCGUAAACCUCUGUCCUAUGGGACGAAGGAAGGAC
Molecule: ribosomal RNA, 440 nt
Filed under: uncultured bacterium
Lineage: Bacteria
Description: bacterial SSU rRNA
Rfam family: Bacterial small subunit ribosomal RNA
Source: RNAcentral